RNAcentral lists this ribosomal RNA (492 nucleotides) under uncultured bacterium. RNAcentral describes it as "partial 16S ribosomal RNA". It matches the Rfam family "Bacterial small subunit ribosomal RNA", at positions 29 to 507 of the family's 1533-position model. The record is from RNAcentral.
AGUGAACGCUGGCGGUAGGCCUAACACAUGCAAGUCGAACGGCAGCACAGUAAGAGCUUGCUCUUACGGGUGGCGAGUGGCGGACGGGUGAGGAAUACAUCGGAAUCUACUUUUUCGUGGGGGAUAACGUAGGGAAACUUAAGCUAAUACCGCAUACGACCUACGGGUGAAAGCAGGGGAUCUUCUGACCUUGCGCGAUUGAAUGAGCCGAUGUCGGAUUAGCUAGUUGGCGGGGUAAAGGCCCACCAAGGCGACGAUCCGUAGCUGGUCUGAGAGGAUGAUUACCCACAUGGGAACUGAGACACGGUCCAGACUCCUGCGGGAGGCAGCAGUGGGGAAUAUUGGACAAUGGGCGCAAGCCUGAUCCAGCAAUACCGCGUGAGUGAAGAAGGCCUUCGGGUUGUAAAGCCCUUUUGUUGGGAAAGAAAAGCAGCAGGUUAAUACCCCGCUGUUAUGACGGUACCCAAAGAAUAAGCACCGGCUAACUUCGUG